AUGGCUCAAAUCUACAUGGCCCCUGGAUUGGACUGCGGCCGAUCAGGCUGUUGGUGAGGUAAUGGCCCACCAAACCUAAAACCGGUACGGGCUCUGAGAGGAGAAGCCCGGAGAUGGGCACUGAGACAAGGGCCCAGGCCCUAUGGGGCGCAGCAGGCGCGAAAACUCUGCAAUAAGCGAAAGCUUGACAGGGUUAUUCUGAGUGAUUUCCGCUAAGGAGAUCUUUUGGCACCUCUAAAAAUGGUGCAGAAUAAGGGGUGGGCAAGCCUGGUGUCAGCCGCCGCGGUAAUACCAGCACCCCGAGUGGUCGGGACGAUUAUUGGGCCUAAAGCAUCCGUAGCCGGUUCUACAAGUCUUCCGUUAAAUCCACCUGCUUAACAGAUGGGCCGCGGAGGAUACUAUAAGACUAGGAGGCAGGAGAGGCAAGCGGUACUCAGUGGGUAGGGGUAAAAUCCGUUGAUCCAUUGAAGACCACCAGUGGCGAAGGCGGCUUGCCAGAAUGCGCUCGACGGUGAGGGAUGAAAGCUGGGGGAGCAAACCGGAUUAGAUACCCGGGUAGUCCCAGCUGUAAACGAUGCAGACUCGGUGAUGGACUAGCUUAAUGCUAGUCCAGUGCCGCAGGGAAGCCGUUAAGUCUGCCGCCUGGGUAGUACGGUCGCAAGACUGAAACUUAAAGGAAUUGGCGGGGGAG
Molecule: ribosomal RNA, 691 nt
Filed under: uncultured archaeon
Lineage: Archaea
Description: bacterial SSU rRNA
Rfam family: Archaeal small subunit ribosomal RNA
Source: RNAcentral